CGGAACAUAGCGCAGAUGGAAGAGCACUCGGCUUAUAUCCGAGCGGUCGCAGGUUCAAUUCCUGCUGUUCCGA
Non-coding RNA from Roseburia sp. 831b, 73 nucleotides. Lineage: Bacteria; Bacillati; Bacillota; Clostridia; Lachnospirales; Lachnospiraceae. The record is from Rfam.